Non-coding RNA from Cucurbita pepo subsp. pepo (vegetable marrow), 1198 nucleotides. The record is from RefSeq and is a predicted model, not a curated record. NCBI's taxonomy places the organism in Eukaryota, Viridiplantae, Streptophyta, Magnoliopsida, Cucurbitales, Cucurbitaceae.
CCUUCACUAAGAUCUUCUUGAUAACUCCAUAGCCAUCCCCUGCAAUUCAGAGCAGAGCAGAGCAGAAACAGAGCCUCCCCUGUUCUAUUUCCUUUCUCCGCCGCACUCCGAUGGCUUCCUUCUCCCACUCUCUCACCACGCCUCCACCCUCUCUCUCUCUCCACACCCACAACAACCGCCUCCUCUCCGGCGCCUCCCUCCUCCCCAAUCUCAUCAAACCCACCGCCUUCUCUGCAAAUUUACACCUCUCCCACCGCCGCCGCGGCUUCACAAUCAAAGCCACCGCUGCUCCGAGCGUGAAGAAACCCACCGGCGAUGAGCGAGUCCAGCAAGUCCACAGCGCGGAGGAGUUCGAUGAAGCCCUUAAGAAAGCCAAGAGCAAGCUGGUUGUGGUGGAAUUCGCUGCCUCACACAGCGCGCAGAGCAGCCGGAUGUACCCGUUCAUGGUGACACUCAGCAAAACGUGUAACGAUGUGGAGUUCAUUUUGGUGAUGGGCGAUGAAUCGGAGCAAACCAAAGAGCUCUGUAACAGAGAGAAAAUCGAAAAGGUUCCUCACUUCAGCUUCUACAAGAACAUGGAGAAGAUCCACGAGGAGGAAGGGAUCGGGCCGGAUCAGCUGGAGGGCGACGUAUUAUACUACGGCGACAACCAUUCAGGAGUUGUUCAGCUACACAGCAGGGAGGAUGUGGAGAAGCUGAUACAAGACCAUAAGGAGGAUCACAAGCUGAUUGUACUGGACGUGGGGUUGAAGCAUUGUGGACCUUGCGUGAAAGUCUAUCCCACAGUGAUCAAGUUGUCGAAGAAAAUGGACACGGCGGUGUUCGCUAGAAUGAACGGCGAUGAGAACGAGAGCUGUAUGCAGUUUUUGAAAGACAUGGACGUUGUCGAAGUGCCUACAUUUUUGUUCAUAAGAGAUGGAGAGAUUAAAGGUAGGUACGUCGGGUCGGGUAAAGGAGAGCUUAUUGGUGAGAUUCUUAGAUACCAAGGAGUUCGUGUUACUUAUUGAGUUUGAGGGUUAGGGAGUUUAGUUUCUAAUUAAUGGUGGGAUUUUGGUGUAUGACGGGUCUAUGAUGAGUUGUUUAUUAUGGUUUAAAUUCGGUGUCACUUUGAAAUAUGAUUCAAGUUGUGACAGGUCACCGUUAUAUAUAUAACCUCGACUAAGAUGUCAUAAAUUUUGAAUCUUUCCACCGAGAAAAA